RNAcentral lists this unclassified non-coding RNA (223 nucleotides) under plant metagenome. Its description in RNAcentral is "partial contains small subunit ribosomal RNA, internal transcribed spacer 1, and 5.8S ribosomal RNA". The record is from RNAcentral.
UUUCCGUAGGUGAACCUGCGGAAGGAUCAUUAAAGAGAAUAUGCCCUUCGGGGUAGAUCUCCCACCCUUUGUUUAUAUUACCUUUGUUGCUUUGGCAGGCCCGUCUUCGGACCACCGGCUUCGGCUGGUCAGCGCUUGCCAGAGGACCCAAAACUCUUAUUAUUAAUGUCGUCUGAGUACUAUAUAAUAGUUAAAACUUUCAACAACGGAUCUCUUGGUUCUG